Molecule: ribosomal RNA, 492 nt
Filed under: uncultured bacterium
Lineage: Bacteria
Description: partial 16S ribosomal RNA
Rfam family: Bacterial small subunit ribosomal RNA
Source: RNAcentral
AGUGAACGCUGGCGGUAGGCCUAACACAUGCAAGUCGAACGGCAGCACAGUAAGAGCUUGCUCUUACGGGUGGCGAGUGGCGGACGGGUGAGGAAUACAUCGGAAUCUACUUUUUCGUGGGGGAUAACGUAGGGAAACUUACGCUAAUACCGCAUACGACCUACGGGUGAAAGCAGGGGAUCUUCGGACCUUGCGCGAUUGAAUGAGCCGAUGUCGGAUUAGCUAGUUGGCGGGGUAAAGGCCCACCAAGGCGACGAUCCGUAGCUGGUCUGAGAGGAUGAUCAGCUACACUGGAACUGAGACACGGUCCAGACUCCUACGGGAGGCAGCAGUGGGGAAUAUUGGACAAAGGGCGCAAGCCUGAUCCAGCCAUACCGCGUGGGUGAAGAAGGCCUUCGGGUUGUAAAGCCCUUUUGUUGGGAAAGAAAAGCAGCAGGUUAAUACCCCGCUGUUCUGACGGUACCCAAAGAAUAAGCACCGGCUAACUUCGUG